Molecule: long non-coding RNA, 319 nt
Organism: Esox lucius (northern pike)
Lineage: Eukaryota; Metazoa; Chordata; Actinopteri; Esociformes; Esocidae
Source: Ensembl
CGGCCUACGUGUUGAUGAACAGCAGUCAGGGAGAUUUAGAUCGUUAGUCUGACACAUGAACAACUCAUUAUCCCAGCGAAGCAGAAAAUGAUUCAGCGCAGGAUGUGCGUGUGUCAUUCAGCCUGAUUGGAGAGACAUGCAGCAUCGUGAGGAGAAGUAGCUUCUUGCAAAUCCUCCUAGACUACAACCACCGGAAGCCAUGACUGAUGAAAGGCUGCAUAGGCCUACAUGCAAGCGUGCAUGGAGGCUCUCUCCUCGCUGUGGCAUGUUAGGGAGUGCCUCAUCCAAUCACUCAUCUAUCAAGACGACCUUCACCACC